AGUGAACGCUGGCGGUAGGCCUAACACAUGCAAGUCGAACGGCAGCACAGUAAGAGCUUGCUCUUACGGGUGGCGAGUGGCGGACGGGUGAGGAAUACAUCGGAAUCUACUUUUUCGUGGGGGAUAACGUAGGGAAACUUACGCUAAUACCGCAUACGACCUACGGGUGAAAGCAGGGGAUCUUUGGACCUUGCGCGAUUGAAUGAGCCGAUGUCGGAUUAGCUAGUUGGCGGGGUAAAGGCCCACCAAGGCGACGAUCCGUAGCUGGUCUGAGAGGAUGAUCAGCCACACUGGAACUGAGACACGGUCCAGACUCCUACGGGAGGCAGCAGUGGGGAAUAUUGGACAAUGGGCGCAAGCCUGAUCCAGCCAUACCGCGUGGGUGAAGAAGGCCUUCGGGUUGUAAAGCCCUUUUGUUGGGAAAGAAAAGAAGCAGGUUAAUACCCCGCUGUUCUGACGGUACCCAAAGAAUAAGCACCGGCUAACUUCGU
RNAcentral lists this ribosomal RNA (491 nucleotides) under uncultured bacterium. Its description in RNAcentral is "partial 16S ribosomal RNA". It matches the Rfam family "Bacterial small subunit ribosomal RNA", at positions 29 to 506 of the family's 1533-position model. The record is from RNAcentral.